Tyto alba (common barn owl) is the source of this 2591-nucleotide long non-coding RNA. RefSeq lists it as uncharacterized. The record is from RefSeq and is a predicted model, not a curated record. Lineage: Eukaryota; Metazoa; Chordata; Aves; Strigiformes; Tytonidae. The transcript is spliced from 3 exons.
UCCAGCUUCCCUGGCUAGGAAGUGACAAAUUCGCUUCAGUGUACUGUAUCAAUGAUGUGCAGAUUACGGUCUCUAACAGCACACAACGGGGCCAUUAUCAUAUGUUGUCACCAUGUACCAUUAAAAGGUCUUUAAUCUGCAGAUUGCCGCCACAAUACGCUGCUCAUGCCAGGGAUCUGCUGAGUAACAGGCCAGGACGCUGCGAAAAACCUCCAGCCUCCGGGGUCGCCUGAAAAACCCAGCUCCCCGUCAGUCAAUCACUGCAACUCAAUUAAUGUAUCUGGGUCAUAAAAAUGGUUUACGGGAGCCUGAGCCGGGUUACGAAACGCAGCGCGGGCGGAUCUACCGGGCGGCGGUGGAGGUCAGCGCCCGGUGCGCCCAGUUCUGAAUACCAGCGCCAGAUUCUGCCCUGGUGUCCCUGGAAUACCUGGACAUUUUCUUAAGGGUACAACUGGCAGGACCUGAUUCCAAGUGGGAGGAUGAAAGAAGAUGCCCUGAGAGACUCAUAGCAGUCCUUUAUACAGUGCAGAGGAGGACAAGGGAUCAUGUGAAGAGCAUCGCAGAGGCCACGGUCAGCCCAAGAGCUCUUUGAUGAUUCGUCACCCUCAAAGUGGCAAAAUGAGGCCAUGCACACAGUGAAAGGAACUUUGAGGUGCACUGCAUGAAUUUUGAGCCAAUGUGUUUUCUUCUGAUAUGGUGCCUAAGUUUCCUUCUCCUCUUAACAAUAACUCCUCUUCAUGCCUCCAGAAAACAAGAUGAUUGAUUUUUAAAGUAGCCAUGUAUUUUACAACAGCAUGCUAGUGAUAGAGAAAAAACUGCAACAAUCCAAUAGUCAGCAUGUUUUGGCAAAUAGAAUUAAGCUGUAUAAACCAAUAACAUUUAAAAAAACAAUUAAUUACAGAUAAAGUAUAAUGACAACAAAUCUUAAAACAACCAAAGAAACAAGACCGACACUUCAAGCGUAUCUUGUGCCCAUAUAAGUGCCAGUCUAGUCAGAGGUCUUGAUUUUUAAGGACAGCCUUUUGCACAUUGCAUACAGGUAUCUGUUACACGAGCACACAAAAGAUCUAGUGCCAGCUUAGAGGCUGAGAUUUUGUUUCUGGAGCAGGCUCCUUCCCUGUGAUACUGGGGAAUGGAGUGGAUGUGAACUCCUUGUUCAGACACUGCUUGUUUCUUAGAUGAGCUGAGAGGUGGAUGAGAGCAGCUCUUCUUCCCUUGCAGAAGAUUCUUUGCUCUGAGCCCACAUCCCUUCCUUCUGGAAGAGCAAUCUCAGCACUGUUUCCUGGAGACACCCUUUGCUUAUCCCGCUCAGGUUCCUUCAGUGAGGAGCCUCAUUUCCUCUACAACCAUAUGACAAUCUCCUAAGCCAUUGUGUGAGGAGCUCCAUUCCUCUAAACGGAGGAGCAACAAACAGUCGGGGACUCAAUCUGUGUCAGUUUUACCAGCCAUAACAAGCACUGGCUGUCAGGCCUGCAUCAUACCCUCCUACCCUUCCUAGGGUCUUGACUGCUUGGGCUCAGGGCCAGCUUAGGUAAUGGGUGCAGGCAUCACGUCUUCAAUCAGAGAGGUGUUUGAGAAAAUGCUGUGAGGAGCCUUGUUGGGAAUGGCUGCCCUUCUCUCAGGAGGUGCUUUUACACUGCUCCCUGCCUAAGCUACACUGCAGCUGUGUUGCAGCUGUGCCCAUGCCCAUGCUCAUGGUUCAAGCUGGCCACUCACCCUAGAUGGGCUCAGGUCAAGGAAUGCAAGAAGCACAUGCAGCUUGUUCACAAAGCCUCCCUGGCACUGGAAACAAAGCACCAUAUGCUUGAGCAGCAGGAGCAAAAGUGCGAGCUCAAGGCAAAGGGAGUUGAGAGCAGAAGGGCAAGGAGGUGCACAGGGAAGGCACAGGGACAUCUUGCUCCCCCCUUCCUCCUUCUGGGGCACUGGUGGGUGACGCACAGCUACCUUCUCUCCCUGCGGCUCCAGAGGGGUGCCCCUUCCACUUCACUUUCCAAUAUCCUGCCCCCAGGGUGGCUACUGCUUCUAGUCCUCUUCCCCUCUCUCUUACCACUUUUGGGCAUCGUCACUCUCCGUUCAUCUUUGCCUUAUAGUCUCUUCUAAGCCCUUGCUGUGUUAGCUGCCCGCUCAGCCCACUGUGCAGGAUGAAACCGAUAGCGGUAUCAGCAGCAAGCAUCGGGGCAAGGAGAUCAGGUGCUGUACGUGUGCCAUUGUCCCCAGCAGAGAGCACAGCAGGCACGCCCUGGUGCCACUGUCACUGACGCACAAGGCACAAAGGUUACCUGCAUCGCUGGCCUGUCACACUGGGUCUGCUGGAAACAGACUUAGACUGUAGAUACGCAGAUUUUUAAUUAACAUCGGAUCAGCUAGGGCUUUCCUUUUUAAACAUGUAUAGACGAGGCUGAUAAUGUUUUCUAACAGCCUUUGAAAUGUAUGAUUUCCAUGUUUGUCCUGAAUUGUAUGUAUUUGUUAACAUUUCUUCUUUUCCUGGCAACCAACAGAAAUAUACCUGUAUUAGGAACUGAAAUAAACGGUUUAUUGACUCAUUUGAAAGAAUUUUUAAUGAUGUAAAAAUCACUUAUAUUCAAUACUCA